GAAAACAACAUCAGCGACGAAAAUGAUAUUAUUGAUGUUGACCUUAUAUCAGAGGAAAACGGUGCCCGAUACAGACAUUCGUUCUAUGUCCACAGGGAAUUACUGGGAAAUUUGAAUAGAAAAAGAUACCACAUGUUUAAAGAACUAAAACGGGAUUAUCAUGUAAAUCAGAUAUAUUUGCGUAUGCCGUCACGAAACGAGUACGGGCCUAUAAUAUUGAUAGGAUCAUGUGGCAGAGAUGUUGUGUUGGCAAGGCAUAAAAUUGAACAAAUAGUAUACUUUUCAAGAUUCGAAAAA
This is a long non-coding RNA of Belonocnema kinseyi, 297 nucleotides long. RefSeq lists it as uncharacterized. The transcript has 3 exons. NCBI's taxonomy places the organism in Eukaryota, Metazoa, Arthropoda, Insecta, Hymenoptera, Cynipidae. The record is from RefSeq and is a predicted model, not a curated record.